This 75-nucleotide transfer RNA is filed under the name Actinomycetaceae bacterium. RNAcentral's name for it is "tRNA-Cys". It matches the Rfam family "tRNA". From Rfam's summary of the family: Transfer RNA (tRNA) molecules are approximately 80 nucleotides in length. Their secondary structure includes four short double-helical elements and three loops (D, anti-codon, and T loops). The record is from RNAcentral. Lineage: Bacteria; Bacillati; Actinomycetota; Actinomycetes; Actinomycetales; Actinomycetaceae.
GGGGCUAUGGUGCAGUCGGUAGCACACCUCGCCAGCAAUGGCGGGGAGACAGGGGUUCGAAUCCUUUUAGCUCCA